AACGCUAGCUACAGGCUUAACACAUGCAAGUCGAGGGGCAGCAUGAACUUAGCUUGCUAAGUUUGAUGGCGACCGGCGCACGGGUGAGUAACACGUAUCCAACCUGCCGAUGACUCGGGGAUAGCCUUUCGAAAGAAAGAUUAAUACCCGAUGGCAUAAUUCUUCCGCAUGGUAGAAUUAUUAAAGAAUUUCGGUCAUCGAUGGGGAUGCGUUCCAUUAGGUUGUUGGCGGGGUAACGGCCCACCAAGCCUUCGAUGGAUAGGGGUUCUGAGAGGAAGGUCCCCCUCAUUGGAACUGAGACACGGUCCAAACUCCUACGGGAGGCAGCAGUGAGGAAUAUUGGUCAAUGGACGAGAGUCUGAACCAGCCAAGUAGCGUGAAGGAUGACUGCCCUAUGGGUUGUAAACUUCUUUUAUACGGGAAUAAAGUGAGGCACGUGUGCCUUUUUGUAUGUACCGUAUGAAUAAGGAUCGGCUAACUCCGUGCCAGCAGCCGCGGUAAUACGGAGGAUCCGAGCGUUAUCCGGAUUUAUUGGGUUUAAAGGGAGCGUAGGCGGACGCUUAAGUCAGUUGUGAAAGUUUGCGGCUCAACCGUAAAAUUGCAGUUGAUACUGGGUGUCUUGAGUACAGUAGAGGCAGGCGGAAUUCGUGGUGUAGCGGUGAAAUGCUUAGAUAUCACGAAGAACUCCGAUUG
Molecule: ribosomal RNA, 693 nt
Filed under: uncultured bacterium
Lineage: Bacteria
Description: bacterial SSU rRNA
Rfam family: Bacterial small subunit ribosomal RNA
Source: RNAcentral